AAAAAUAUACAGUACAGUGAAUUUUUAAGAAGAAAAAAAACAACUUGUAAAAAAAAAUGUGCCCCACCCAAAAAAGAUCAAACUGGGCCACGUUGGUGAACCAUAUUACAAAAUGAAUUUUAAACUUUCUAUGUAUUUUAGGUUCUGGGAAUUGUUACUGGUGUGCUUUUACAAGAUCAGGAAUUGAAAGGUGUAGAGUUCCAACAAUUGCCUUAUCAUAGAAUUUUUAUAAUGCUGUUCUUAGAGCUUAGUGCCCCGGAGGCAGUACUAGAAGCAAUAAGUGCACAAAUUCUUACAGCCUUCUGCAAUACUCUUUAUUACCUAAGACCGCAAAAGGCACCUGGGUUUGCCUAUGCUUGGUUAGAGCUAGUUUCUCAUCGAGUAUUUCUUGGUCGAGUUCUGGCUGCUUCUUCAGCU
This is a non-coding RNA of Parasteatoda tepidariorum (common house spider), 417 nucleotides long. Lineage: Eukaryota; Metazoa; Arthropoda; Arachnida; Araneae; Theridiidae. The record is from RefSeq and is a predicted model, not a curated record.